UACGGAGGGGGCGAGCGUUAUUCGGAAUUAUUGGGCGUAAAGGGCGCGUAGGCGGCCCGGUAAGUCAAAGGUGAAAUCCCUCGGCUCAACUGAGGAACUGCCUUUGAAACUGUCGGGCUUGAGGCCGGGAGGGGGUAGCGGAAUUCCCAGUGUAGCGGUGAAAUGCGUAGAUAUCUGGAGGAACACCGGUGGCGAAGGCGGCAUCCUGGACCAAUUCUGACGCUGAUGAGCGAAAGCCAGGGGAGCAAACGGG
RNAcentral lists this ribosomal RNA (253 nucleotides) under uncultured bacterium. Its description in RNAcentral is "partial 16S ribosomal RNA". It matches the Rfam family "Bacterial small subunit ribosomal RNA", at positions 524 to 776 of the family's 1533-position model. The record is from RNAcentral.